RNAcentral lists this small nucleolar RNA (127 nucleotides) under Castor canadensis (American beaver). RNAcentral describes it as "Small nucleolar RNA SNORD22 (ENSCCNG00000022514.1)". It matches the Rfam family "Small nucleolar RNA SNORD22". Rfam says of the family: U22 is a member of the C/D class of snoRNA which contain the C (UGAUGA) and D (CUGA) box motifs. The record is from Rfam by way of RNAcentral. Lineage: Eukaryota; Metazoa; Chordata; Mammalia; Rodentia; Castoridae.
UCCCAAUGAAGAAACAUUCACACCGUGUACUUUCUAUCCUAGCCCCAGAAUCUGUAAAGAUGAACCCACUAAGACUGGCUGGGGGAAGAAGAGGAAAACUUGUUCCAGAAGGAAUUGUUUGAGGGAU